AACGAACGCUGGCGGCAUGCCUAACACAUGCAAGUCGAACGAGACCUUCGGGUCUAGUGGCGCACGGGUGCGUAACGCGUGGGAACCUGCCUUUAGGUUCGGAAUAACUCCCCGAAAGGGGUGCUAAUACCGGAUAAUGUCUUCGGACCAAAGAUUUAUCGCCUUUGGAUGGGCCUGCGUUGGAUUAGCUAGUUGGUAGGGUAAAAGCCUACCAAGGCGACGAUCCAUAGCUGGUCUGAGAGGAUGAUCAGCCACACUGGGACUGAGACACGGCCCAGACUCCUACGGGAGGCAGCAGUGGGUAAUAUUGGACAGUGGGCGAAAGCCUGAUCCAGCAAUGCCGCGUGAGUGAUGAAGGCCUUAGGGUUGUAAAGCUCUUUUACCCGGGAUGAUAAUGACAGUACCGGGAGAAUAAGCUCCGGCUAACUCCGUG
RNAcentral lists this ribosomal RNA (433 nucleotides) under uncultured bacterium. Its description in RNAcentral is "partial 16S ribosomal RNA". It matches the Rfam family "Bacterial small subunit ribosomal RNA", at positions 29 to 507 of the family's 1533-position model. The record is from RNAcentral.